UGUAGCAAUACAUGGGCGGCGACCGGCAAACGGGUGCGGAACACGUACAGAACCUUCCUUCGAGCGGGGAAUAGCCCAGAGAAAUUUGGAUUAAUACCCCAUAGUAUUACGGAGUGGCAUCACUUUGUAAUUAAAGAUUUAUCACUUGAAGAUGGCUGUGCGGCUGAUUAGGUAGUUGGCGGGGUAACGGCCCACCAAGCCUACGAUCAGUAACUGGUGUGAGAGCACGACCAGUCACACGGGCACUGAGACACGGGCCCGACUCCUACGGGAGGCAGCAGUAAGGAAUAUUGGUCAAUGGACGAAAGUCUGAACCAGCCAUGCCGCGUGGAGGAUGAAGGUCCUCUGGAUUGUAAACUUCUUUUAUAUGGGACGAAAAAAGGCUUUUCUAAGUCGUCUGACGGUACCAUAUGAAUAAGCACCGGCUAACUCCGUGCCAGCAGCCGCGGUAAUACGGAGGGUGCAAGCGUUAUCCGGAUUCACUGGGUUUAAAGGGUGCGUAGGUGGGUUGGUAAGUCAGUGGUGAAAUCUCCGAGCUUAACUUGGAAACUGCCAUUGAUACUAUUAGUCUUGAAUAUUGUGGAGGUCAGCGGAAUAUGUCAUGUAGCGGUGAAAUGCUUAGAGAUGACAUAGAACACCAAUUGCGAAGGCAGCUGGCUACACAUAUAUUGACACUGAGGCACGAAAGCGUGGGGAUCAAACAGGAUUAGAUACCCUGGUAGUCCACGCCCUAAACUAUGGAUACUCGACAUACGCGAUACACUGUGUGUGUCUGAGCGAAAGCAUUAAGUAUCCCACCUGGGAAGUACGAUCGCAAGAUUGAAACUC
Molecule: ribosomal RNA, 828 nt
Filed under: uncultured Flavobacteriaceae bacterium
Lineage: Bacteria; Pseudomonadati; Bacteroidota; Flavobacteriia; Flavobacteriales; Flavobacteriaceae
Description: bacterial SSU rRNA
Rfam family: Bacterial small subunit ribosomal RNA
Source: RNAcentral